RNAcentral lists this long non-coding RNA (493 nucleotides) under Homo sapiens (human). RNAcentral describes it as "long non-coding RNA NONHSAT116746.2". Lineage: Eukaryota; Metazoa; Chordata; Mammalia; Primates; Hominidae. The record is from RNAcentral.
AUGAAACCCCAGUUUGUUGGGAUCUUGCUCAGCUCCCUGCUAGGGGCUGCCUUGGGUAAGGAGGCGGCCAGCUAGCUUCUCACACAGGCCUUCUGCCAGCCGGCUCCACCGAGGGCCCAGGUCCAGCGCCUCUUUUCUCCUGCCAGGAAACCGAAUGCGGUGCUACAACUGUGGUGGAAGCCCCAGCAGUUCUUGCAAAGAGGCCGUGACCACCUGUGGCGAGGGCAGACCCCAGCCAGGCCUGGAACAGAUCAAGCUACCUGGAAACCCCCCAGUGACCUUGAUUCACCAACAUCCAGCCUGCGUCGCAGCCCAUCAUUGCAAUCAAGUGGAGACAGAGUCGGUGGGAGACGUGACUUAUCCAGCCCACAGGGACUGCUACCUGGGAGACCUGUGCAACAGCGCCGUGGCAAGCCAUGUGGCCCCUGCAGGCAUUUUGGCUGCAGCAGCUACCGCCCUGACCUGUCUCUUGCCAGGACUGUGGAGCGGAUAG